AAUUCUAUGAGCUGUGGUCCAAGUGUAGUGUCUGUUCUUAUCAGUUUAAUAUCUGAUAUGUUCUUUAUUUGAGAACUGUAUGUUAAAAUGAGCGUGUGUAGUUUCACUACCCCGUAGCUGCCACUGCCACCACAC
This 135-nucleotide small nuclear RNA is filed under the name Chrysemys picta bellii (western painted turtle). RNAcentral's name for it is "U2 spliceosomal RNA (ENSCPBG00000009097.1)". The stretch from base 20 to 76 matches the Rfam family "U2 spliceosomal RNA", at positions 28 to 84 of the family's 192-position model. Lineage: Eukaryota; Metazoa; Chordata; Testudines; Emydidae. The record is from RNAcentral.